This 465-nucleotide ribosomal RNA is filed under the name Vreelandella stevensii. RNAcentral describes it as "partial 16S ribosomal RNA". It matches the Rfam family "Bacterial small subunit ribosomal RNA", at positions 338 to 795 of the family's 1533-position model. The record is from RNAcentral. Lineage: Bacteria; Pseudomonadati; Pseudomonadota; Gammaproteobacteria; Oceanospirillales; Halomonadaceae.
CCUACGGGGGGCAGCAGUGGGGAAUAUUGGACAAUGGGGGGAACCCUGAUCCAGCCAUGCCGCGUGUGUGAAGAAGGCCCUCGGGUUGUAAAGCACUUUCAGUGAGGAAGAACGCCUGGUGGUUAAUACCCAUCAGGAAAGACAUCACUCACAGAAGAAGCACCGGCUAACUCCGUGCCAGCAGCCGCGGUAAUACGGAGGGUGCGAGCGUUAAUCGGAAUUACUGGGCGUAAAGCGCGCGUAGGUGGCUUGAUAAGCCGGUUGUGAAAGCCCCGGGCUCAACCUGGGAACGGCAUCCGGAACUGUCAAGCUAGAGUGCAGGAGAGGAAGGUAGAAUUCCCGGUGUAGCGGUGAAAUGCGGAGAGAUCGGGAGGAAUACCAGUGGCGAAGGCGGCCUUCUGGACUGACACUGACACUGAGGUGCGAAAGCGUGGGUAGCAAACAGGAUUAGAUACCCGAGUAGUC